UGUCGGAGGAAUGUAUUUCUGCACUGAGGAGUGACAAGGUUGGCAUCUCUAAAGCUGAAUACAUGGAUGGUGCUGUCCAAAAGUUACUACUGGAUAUUUUGUUUCAGAGGUUGAGAAAAGAGGGGGUACCACAGCCAGAAUUCAUAUCGACAUGGAGACAGAGAAUGGUACAAUGAAAGACAUUCAAAGAUGUUUGCGUCUUGAUGACAGCUAUCCUGAAAACUACUUCAUUGUGGGAUCCAGCACCCACAGCCAGCACAUCAACAGCCAGUACUGGAUGAACCUUUUUCAAAAACUGAAGAAUACAGAUUACUUUACUGGUGACUUCUUGGAUAAGCAGCCAAUUCUGCUCACCUGUUUAAAUAUCACUGAGGAAGAACUCUUAAAGUGGUUCACUUAUGGAACAUAAUUCGUAAGAUUAGAGAUACUAUUGCUCCAAGUUGCCGGUCCUACAUGAUGUAUACCG
This is a long non-coding RNA of Fundulus heteroclitus (mummichog), 466 nucleotides long. RefSeq lists it as uncharacterized. Lineage: Eukaryota; Metazoa; Chordata; Actinopteri; Cyprinodontiformes; Fundulidae. The transcript is spliced from 3 exons. The record is from RefSeq and is a predicted model, not a curated record.